UCGUAGUGACUGCGGAGGAUCAUUACCGAGUGAGGGCCCUCUGGGUCCAACCUCCCACCCGUGUUUAUUUUACCUUGUUGCUUCGGCGGGCCCGCCUUAACUGGCCGCCGGGGGGCUUACGCCCCCGGGCCCGCGCCCGCCGAAGACACCCUCGAACUCUGUCUGAAGAUUGAAGUCUGAGUGAAAAUAUAAAUUAUUUAAAACUUUCAACAACGGAUCUCUUGGUUCCGGCAUCGAUGAAGAACGCAGCGAAAUGCGAUACGUAAUGUGAAUUGCAAAUUCAGUGAAUCAUCGAGUCUUUGAACGCACAUUGCGCCCCCUGGUAUUCCGGGGGGCAUGCCUGUCCGAGCGUCAUUGCUGCCCUCAAGCCCGGCUUGUGUGUUGGGCCCCGUCCCCCGAUCUCCGGGGGACGGGCCCGAAAGGCAGCGGCGGCACCGCGUCCGGUCCUCGAGCGUAUGGGGCUUUGUCACCCGCUCUGUAGGCCCGGCCGGCGCUUGCCGAUCAACCCAAAUUUUUAUCCAGGUUGACCUCGGAUCAGGUAGGGAUACCCGCUGAACUUAAGCAUAUCAAUAAGCCGGAGGAAA
This 584-nucleotide ribosomal RNA is filed under the name Penicillium commune. RNAcentral describes it as "eukaryotic LSU rRNA". The stretch from base 202 to 354 matches the Rfam family "5.8S ribosomal RNA". The record is from RNAcentral. Lineage: Eukaryota; Fungi; Ascomycota; Eurotiomycetes; Eurotiales; Aspergillaceae.